CACGUAGGCGGCUUGGCAAGUCAGGGGUGCAAGCUCUAGGCUUAACCUAGAAAUUGCCUCUGAAACUACCUCGCUUGAGGGUCAGAGGGGAAACUGGAAUUCACGGUGUAGCGGUGAAAUGCGUAGAUAUCGUGGAGAACACCCGUGGCGAAGGCGGGUUUCUGGCUGACAACUGACGCUGAGGUGCGAAAGCUAGGGGAGCGAACGGGAUUAGAUACCCCGGUAGUCCUAGCCGUAAACGAUGAGUACUAGGUGUGGGGGUUAACACUUCCGUGCCGACGCUAACGCAUUAAGUACUCCGCCUGGGGACUACGGCCGCAAGGUUAAA
Molecule: ribosomal RNA, 328 nt
Filed under: uncultured bacterium
Lineage: Bacteria
Description: bacterial SSU rRNA
Rfam family: Bacterial small subunit ribosomal RNA
Source: RNAcentral